GACGAACGCUGGCGGCGUGCCUAAUACAUGCAAGUAGAACGCUGAAGAGAGGAGCUUGCUCUUCUUGGAUGAGUUGCGAACGGGUGAGUAACGCGUAGGUAACCUGCCUUGUAGCGGGGGAUAACUAUUGGAAACGAUAGCUAAUACCGCAUAACAAUGGAUGACACAUGUCAUUUAUUUGAAAGGGGCAAUUGCUCCACUACAAGAUGGACCUGCGUUGUAUUAGCUAGUAGGUGAGGUAAUGGCUCACCUAGGCGACGAUACAUAGCCGACCUGAGAGGGUGAUCGGCCACACUGGGACUGAGACACGGCCCAGACUCCUACGGGAGGCAGCAGUAGGGAAUCUUCGGCAAUGGGGGCAACCCUGACCGAGCAACGCCGCGUGAGUGAAGAAGGUUUUCGGAUCGUAAAGCUCUGUUGUAAGUCAAGAACGGGUGUGAGAGUGGAAAGUUCACACUGUGACGGUAGCUUACCAGAAAGGGACGGCUAACUACGUGCCAGCAGCCGCGGUAAUACGUAGGUCCCGAGCGUUGUCCGGAUUUAUUGGGCGUAAAGCGAGCGCAGGCGGUUUGAUAAGUCUGAAGUUAAAGGCUGUGGCUCAACCAUAGUUCGCUUUGGAAACUGUCAAACUUGAGUGCAGAAGGGGAGAGUGGAAUUCCAUGUGUAGCGGUGAAAUGCGUAGAUAUAUGGAGGAACACCGGUGGCGAAAGCGGUUCUCUGGUCUGUAACUGACGCUGAGGCUCGAAAGCGUGGGGAGCGAACAGGAUUAGAUACCCUGGUAGUCCACGCCGUAAACGAUGUCAACUAGCCGUUGGGAGUCUUGAACUCUUAGUGGCGCAGCUAACGCAUUAAGUUGACCGCCUGGGGAGUACGGCCGCAAGGUUAAAACUCAAAUGAAUUGACGGGGGCCCGCACAAGCGGUGGAGCAUGUGGUUUAAUUCGAAGCAACGCGAAGAACCUUACCAGGUCUUGACAUCCUUUGAAGCUUCUAGAGAUAGAAGUGUUCUCUUCGGAGACAAAGUGACAGGUGGUGCAUGGUCGUCGUCAGCUCGUGUCGUGAGAUGUUGGGUUAAGUCCCGCAACGAGCGCAACCCUUAUUGUUAGUUGCCAGCAUUCAGUUGGGCACUCUAGCGAGACUGCCGGUGACAAACCGGAGGAAGGCGGGGACGACGUCAGAUCAUCAUGCCCCUUAUGACCUGGGCUACACACGUGCUACAAUGGCGUAUACAACGAGUUGCCAACCCGCGAGGUCAAGCUAAUCUCUUAAAGCCGUUCUCAGUUCGGAUUGCAGGCUGCAACUCGCCUGCAUGAAGUUGGAAUCGCUAGUAAUCGUGGAUCAGCAUGCCACGGUGAAUACGUUCCCGGGCCUUGUACACACCGCCCGUCACACCAUGAGAGUUUGUAACACCCAAAGCCGGUGAGGUAACCUUCGGGGACCAGCCGUCUAAGGUGGGACAGAUGAUUAGGGUGAAGU
Molecule: ribosomal RNA, 1474 nt
Filed under: uncultured bacterium
Lineage: Bacteria
Description: bacterial SSU rRNA
Rfam family: Bacterial small subunit ribosomal RNA
Source: RNAcentral